RNAcentral lists this ribosomal RNA (253 nucleotides) under uncultured bacterium. RNAcentral describes it as "partial 16S ribosomal RNA". It matches the Rfam family "Bacterial small subunit ribosomal RNA", at positions 524 to 776 of the family's 1533-position model. The record is from RNAcentral.
UACGGAGGGUGCGAGCGUUAAUCGGAAUUACUGGGCGUAAAGCGCACGCAGGCGGUUUGUUAAGCUAGAUGUGAAAGCCCCGGGCUCAACCUGGGAUGGUCAUUUAGAACUGGCAGACUAGAGUCUUGGAGAGGGGAGUGGAAUUCCAGGUGUAGCGGUGAAAUGCGUAGAUAUCUGGAGGAACAUCAGUGGCGAAGGCGACUCCCUGGCCAAAGACUGACGCUCAUGUACGAAAGUGUGGGUAGCGAACAGG